GACAGAGGGUGCAAACGUUGCUCGGAAUUACUGGGCGUAAAGCGCGUGUAGGCGGACCGGAAAGUCGGGCGUGAAAUCCCUGGGCUCAACCCAGGAACUGCACUCGAAACUUCCGGCCUUGAGUGGUGGAGAGGGUAGUGGAAUUCCUGGUGUAGAGGUGAAAUUCGUAGAUAUCAGGAGGAACACCGGUGGCGAAGGCGGCUACCUGGACACCAACUGACGCUGAGACGCGAAAGCGUGGGGAGCAAACAGG
This 253-nucleotide ribosomal RNA is filed under the name uncultured bacterium. Its description in RNAcentral is "partial 16S ribosomal RNA". It matches the Rfam family "Bacterial small subunit ribosomal RNA", at positions 524 to 776 of the family's 1533-position model. The record is from RNAcentral. RNAcentral also lists the same sequence under 1 other name.